UACGUAGGGGCAAGCGUUGUCCGGAAUUACUGGGCGUAAAGCGCACGCAGGCGGAAUUGUAAGUCCGUUGUAAAAUUCAGAGGCUCAACCUCUGUCUGUCGGCGGAUACUGCAAAUCUAGAGUAUGUGAGAGGGAAGUGGAAUUCCUGGUGUAGCGGUGAAAUGCGUAGAUAUCAGGAGGAACUCCUGUGGCGAAGGCGACUUCCUGGCACAAGACUGACGCUCAUGUGCGAAAGCUAGGGUAGCGAACGGGAUUAGA
RNAcentral lists this ribosomal RNA (258 nucleotides) under uncultured prokaryote. RNAcentral's name for it is "partial 16S ribosomal RNA". It matches the Rfam family "Bacterial small subunit ribosomal RNA", at positions 524 to 782 of the family's 1533-position model. The record is from RNAcentral.